UACGGGGGGAGCAAGCGUUGUUCGGAUUUACUGGGCGUAAAGGGCGCGUAGGCGGUCAGCACAAGUCAGUUGUGAAAUCUCCGGGCUUAACUCGGAAAUGGCAUUGGAAACUACCUUGCUGGAGGAUUUGAGGGGGGAUUGGAAUACUUGGUGUAGCAGUGAAAUGCGUAGAUAUCAAGUGGAACACCAGUGGCGAAGGCGAAUCCCUGGAAAAUACCUGACACUGAGGCACGAAAGCUAGGGGAGCAAACAGG
RNAcentral lists this ribosomal RNA (254 nucleotides) under uncultured bacterium. Its description in RNAcentral is "partial 16S ribosomal RNA". It matches the Rfam family "Bacterial small subunit ribosomal RNA", at positions 524 to 776 of the family's 1533-position model. The record is from RNAcentral.